UUUUGACCUCGGAUCAGGUAGGGAUACCCGCUGAACUUAAGCAUAUCAAUAAGCGGAGGAAAAGAAACCAACAGGGAUUGCCCUAGUAACGGCGAGUGAAGCGGCAACAGCUCAAAUUUGAAAUCUGGCUCUUUCAGAGUCCGAGUUGUAAUUUGCAGAGGGCGCUUUGGCUUUGGCAGCGGUCCAAGUUCCUUGGAACAGGACGUCACAGAGGGUGAGAAUCCCGUACGUGGUCGCUAGCUAUUGCCGUGUAAAGCCCCUUCGACGAGUCGAGUUGUUUGGGAAUGCAGCUCUAAAUGGGAGGUAAAUUUCUUCUAAAGCUAAAUAUUGGCCAGAGACCGAUAGCGCACAAGUAGAGUGAUCGAAAGAUGAAAAGCACUUUGGAAAGAGAGUCAAACAGCACGUGAAAUUGUUGAAAGGGAAGCGCUUGCAGCCAGACUUGCUUGCAGUUGCUCAUCCGGGCUUUUGCCCGGUGCACUCUUCUGCAGGCAGGCCAGCAUCAGUUUGGGCGGUGGGAUAAAGGUCUCUGUCAUGUACCUCUCUUCGGGGAGGCCUUAUAGGGGAGGCGACAUACCACCAGCCUAGACUGAGGUCCGCGCAUCUGCUAGGAUGCUGGCGUAAUGGCUGUAAGCGGCCCGUCUUGAAACACGGACCAAGGAGUCUAACAUCUAUGCGAGUGUUUGGGUGUCAAGCCCGAGCGCGUAAUGAAAGUGAACGGAGGUGGGAACCCGCAAGGGUGCACCAUCGACCGAUCCUGAAGUUUACGGAAGGAUUUGAGUAAGAGCAUGGCUGUUGGGACCCGAAAGAUGGUGAACUAUGCUUGAAUAGGGUGAAGCCAGAGGAAACUCUGGUGGAGGCUCGCAGCGGUUCUGACGUGCAAAUCGAUCGUCAAAUUUGGGCAUAGGGGCGAAAGACUAAUCGAACUAUCUAGUAGCUGGUUCCUGCCGAAGUUUCCCUCAGGAUAGCAGUAACGUAUUCAGUUUUAUGAGGUAAAGCGAAUGAUUAGAGGCAUGGGGGGUUGAAACAACCUUCACCUAUUCUCAAACUUUAAAUAUGUA
This 1058-nucleotide ribosomal RNA is filed under the name Exserohilum sp. BRIP 46107. RNAcentral's name for it is "partial 28S ribosomal RNA". It matches the Rfam family "Eukaryotic large subunit ribosomal RNA", at positions 1 to 1075 of the family's 3401-position model. The record is from RNAcentral. Lineage: Eukaryota; Fungi; Ascomycota; Dothideomycetes; Pleosporales; Pleosporaceae.